RNAcentral lists this transfer RNA (1421 nucleotides) under Bartonella acomydis. The stretch from base 440 to 513 matches the Rfam family "tRNA". Lineage: Bacteria; Pseudomonadati; Pseudomonadota; Alphaproteobacteria; Hyphomicrobiales; Bartonellaceae. The record is from RNAcentral.
CCUUUCUAAGGAUGAUCAAGAAUUGGAACUCUUUAAAUAAAAAGACCCUUCCUUUUUGAUCGCGUUAGACAUCAAGGUUUAAAGCAAUUUAAACCUUUGCAUAUGAUGCUAACUCUCAAUAGAACAUUCUCGCAAAAGAGAUCCCUCUUUGCAAAAAGAGGCCCCCAUCUCUUGAGGUCCUUGCCUCUGCUGAGAAAAGUUCAUGAGAGCUUAGUGCCAUGUGUUGACAAUAUACAAGCAGGCUAGCCGUCUUCGUUUCUCUUUCUUCAGAUGAUGAUCCCAAGCCUUCUGGCGAUCUCUAAAAAUAAAGCCUCUCCUCUCUUGGUAAAGAUAAGGAGUGCUGUAAACAAAGAGCUGAAAAAUCUUCUGCCUUCUGCAUUGUAAGAAAAAGCUCCUCUGUUAAGAGUAUGCCGGGGAAGGUUUUCCGGUUUAUCCCGGAGGGCUUGUAGCUCAGUUGGUUAGAGCGCGCGCUUGAUAAGCGUGAGGUCGGAGGUUCAAGUCCUCCCAGGCCCACCAAUCACUCUAUCAAUUUAGAUACACUGGCAAUUUAAAUGCGCCGACACCUUUUGCUUGUGAGGCAGCUUGCUAAAACUUGUAAAAACAUGCCUAUAAAUCAGGGUGUCAUAAAAAACACUAUAAAGGAAACUUAUAAAUUGGCUGAUUUGCUCUUGUAGGAUAAUGUCCUUAAACUUGCUGAUAAAGGGUAUUAUAAAAUGAAGUUCCUUGAUUAAGGCGAGUUAUAAGUGUUAUAAAUAUUUAGAAGUGUUAUGAGAGGCGUUAUGAAAUAUACUGCUUCUUUGUUUGUUUUCGGCAACACAAGGUGAGGCAAUUUACAGCAGGAUGUGGCAGUUCAAAAGGUGGUGCUAUUUUCCCUUGCCUAUCUCGAAUUUUACCUGCUUUCAAAUUUUGUAAAUGCUUUAAAAUUUACAAAUUUUUGCCUAUAUUGUAUUUUUUUAGGGGCCGUAGCUCAGCUGGGAGAGCACCUGCUUUGCAAGCAGGGGGUCGUCGGUUCGAUCCCGUCCGGCUCCACCACUUAGGUCAUCAUCAUUGUUGUGAGAACAUUGUUUUGUAAGAGGUUUUAAUAACUUCUUGCCUGUUCUAUUGAAAUUGUGAAGAGAAGAUAUAUUCAGAUGUGAUUUUUUACAUCCUGUCUUUAACAAGCACUGUCUUUAAAGAAAUUUUCUUUAAAGAGAGGCUUAAAGAUAAAGCUAUGAAAAAUAGAUAAAACUGUAAAAAAUCAUGUGUCGCAAGGGAACGCUCAAAGCCCUUGCAUAUGAUUGGAAGCUUAACCGCGCCAUUGAAUAUAUCUCGAGAAGCUGGUCUUUUCUGCUGAUAUUUAUGUUUGUUUUGCGCUUAGUUUUGCACAAGACAGAGAAUGCGGACAAACAGAGAAACAAUAAGUAAACAACUCAGUAAUGGCA